CCUACGGGAGGCAGCAGUGAGGAAUAUUGGUCAAUGGGCGUAAGCCUGAACCAGCCAAGUCGCGUGAGGGAUGAAGGUUCUAUGGAUCGUAAACCUCUUUUAUAAGGGAAUAAAGUUCGGGACGUGUCCCGUUUUGUAUGUACCUUAUGAAUAAGGAUCGGCUACCUCCGUGCCAGAAGCCGCGGUAAUACGGAGGCUCCGAGCGUUAUCCGGAUUUAUUGGGUUUAACGGGUGCGUAAGCGGCCUUUUAAGUCAGCUGUGAAAGUCUGUGGCUCAACCAUAGAAUUGCAGUUGAAACUGGGAGGCUUGAGUAUGGUGGAGGGAGGCGGAAGGCGUGGUGUAGCGGUGAAAUGCGUAGAUAUCACGCAGAACCCCGAUUGCGAAGGCAGCCGGCUAAGCCAUGACUGACGCUGAUGUACGAAAGCGUGGGGAUCAAACAGGAUUAGAUACCCGGGUAGUC
This 460-nucleotide ribosomal RNA is filed under the name uncultured bacterium. Its description in RNAcentral is "partial 16S ribosomal RNA". It matches the Rfam family "Bacterial small subunit ribosomal RNA", at positions 338 to 795 of the family's 1533-position model. The record is from RNAcentral.